AGUCGAGCGAGCGGAACUACAGAUUUACUUCGGUAAUGACGUUAGGAAAGCGAGCGGCGGAUGGGUGAGUAACACGUGGGGAACCUGCCCCAUAGUCUGGGAUACCACUUGGAAACAGGUGCUAAUACCGGAUAAGAAAGCAGAUCGCAUGAUCAGCUUUUAAAAGGCGGCGUAAGCUGUCGCUAUGGGAUGGCCCCGCGGUGCAUUAGCUAGUUGGUAAGGUAAAGGCUUACCAAGGCGAUGAUGCAUAGCCGAGUUGAGAGACUGAUCGGCCACAUUGGGACUGAGACACGGCCCAAACUCCUACGGGAGGCAGCAGUAGGGAAUCUUCCACAAUGGACGCAAGUCUGAUGGAGCAACGCCGCGUGAGUGAAGAAGGUUUUCGGAUCGUAAAGCUCUGUUGUUGGUGAAGAAGGAUAGAGGUAGUAACUGGCCUUUAUUUGACGGUAAUCAACCAGAAAGUCACGGCUAACUACGUGCCAGCAGCCGCGGUAAUACGUAGGUGGCAAGCGUUGUCCGGAUUUAUUGGGCGUAAAGCGAGCGCAGGCGGAAGAAUAAGUCUGAUGUGAAAGCCCUCGGCUUAACCGAGGAACUGCAUCGGAAACUGUUUUUCUUGAGUGCAGAAGAGGAGAGUGGAACUCCAUGUGUAGCGGUGGAAUGCGUAGAUAUAUGGAAGAACACCAGUGGCGAAGGCGGCUCUCUGGUCUGCAACUGACGCUGAGGCUCGAAAGCAUGGGUAGUGAACAGGAUUAGAUACCCUGGUAGUCCAUGCCGUAAACGAUGAGUGCUAAGUGUUGGGAGGUUUCCGCCUCUCAGUGCUGCAGCUAACGCAUUAAGCACUCCGCCUGGGGAGUACGA
This 858-nucleotide ribosomal RNA is filed under the name uncultured bacterium. Its description in RNAcentral is "bacterial SSU rRNA". It matches the Rfam family "Bacterial small subunit ribosomal RNA", at positions 60 to 885 of the family's 1533-position model. The record is from RNAcentral.